This 390-nucleotide ribosomal RNA is filed under the name Triticum aestivum (bread wheat). Its description in RNAcentral is "partial small subunit ribosomal RNA". Lineage: Eukaryota; Viridiplantae; Streptophyta; Magnoliopsida; Poales; Poaceae. The record is from RNAcentral.
AUGGAGUACCAACAAGAAUGUGUUUUCCCCCAAGCAAAAGCUUGGAAACUACAAAAAAAGGGAAACAUGUUAACUCUAGUGCUGGAGCAUCAAAAAGCAAAAGCUUGGAGAAUACAAACAAAAAGGGAAAAGGGGGGAAAUCUGAAUCGGUCAAUCCAAGAGUGCAUAUCAAGAACCGGCUCAAAACAGCCGGAGCCAAUUUCCAUCGAGUUUCCUAUGCCUGGCGAUGAAACAAAUGUUCCUGUGAAGGUUAGGGGCAAGAGUAAGGAGUGCACUCAAAAGAUUCCUAUGGUGCCACAAGACAGCCCAGCAAUGUGCACAAGAAGCAAAAAAAUUAACUCUGCACGCCCUUCAAUGAGCACAAGAAGCAAAAGGCGGCUUAGUUUGUGA